RNAcentral lists this long non-coding RNA (1328 nucleotides) under Phasianus colchicus (ring-necked pheasant). Its description in RNAcentral is "lncRNA (ENSPCLG00000006553.1)". The record is from RNAcentral. Lineage: Eukaryota; Metazoa; Chordata; Aves; Galliformes; Phasianidae.
GAGAUUCGAGAGGCAAGGGCCAUGCCCAGAUUAAAGAGAGGCAAUUGCCAAAACGCCUCAACGGGGAACAGCCCUGUCUACUCCUCACCCUGCUCCAGCCCAGGCAAUGCUGACAGAUAGCAGAAACCGGGGCUAUUAGGCGCCUACAUCCCUUAGGUACUUUUGGAAACAGCUCUUCCCAGAAGUCCCUCAGGGGGUAUCUGCCCCAUACUGUGACACUGGAGGCAGCUUCAGAGGAGCCACCCAAAAGUAGGAGCAGGAGGAAGGAGGGGCUCAGUGGAAGCUGAUUUAUUCUGCUUCUCAGGUGCGUUUGCAGCCCACGCACAUUGCUGCAGAUGGGCCAGUACAGAUGUCCAAUGCUGCCAGCUGAGCACUCAUUCAGGACAUAGUCUGGGACAGCCCAUUGACAUUCUUGCCAUCUCUAGAUACCCACUGGGAACAUCUAAACCAUCCAUGGCUUAGGGAACCAGUUUGCUUGACUUCUGGUCAUCCCUACUUUAUCUGUUGGCUUGUGGAAUGAACCAGUGUUUUCUGAAAUGAAACCCAAGCACUGUUUUAAGGAUGUUUUUCUCCCAGUUUUGCUCUCUUGAAUGGGUCUUGCCCAAGUUUGGUGCUAUCCAUCCUCCACAGUCCUACAGCUCUUGCGAACACCUCCCUACGUCACAAUGACACACCUCACAACGUACUACAAGAUCAGCUCCUCGGUGGGCUGAAAGAUGGUCCUCAGUUUGAAUUUUCAAGGAAAGAAGAAAUUAAUUAUAACAGGGAGUCAUGAGGGACCCAGAAGAAAGCUGAUCCAAGUGCUACAUGGGGAUUUUAGGGACACAAAGUGAAGGGUGGGAGGAAGAGCAGCUGCACAUCUCCACCACAGGACACACACCAGUCCCAUCUGAGCUGCAAUCCUUUAGCUCAUCUCAAGCCCAGCUCCAAAAAAACCCCUCUGCCUUUCAAGCCUGCUCAUUCCCACAGCAGGGGGCAAAAGCAAUGCUGUUUUCUCAGACUCUGAAGCAGUUGCCAGUGGCUCCAUCUUCCUGGUGUGCAAGUGAGAUGCCCAAAUUCUGUCAUCCCUGUCAUCCAAAGAGCCUGUUUGGAGCAAAAGAGCAGCAUAAGCACAUCUUGGAUUUCACCUGCAGCCUGUCACAGCGUGCUACCUUCAGCAGCCCAAAAGGGAAAUGACCUUUCUGGCUUUUGACGAGAGGAAUCCAACGAGCCACUCACCAUCCUGCUUCCCACCCCACCUCUAAUCUCAUGUGAAAUCUUGUCAGGAACACAACAUAUUCAAUUUGUCAGGCCUCAGAUAAGCUUCGUGGAUCUGUUCUGAGUUUCAG